This is a long non-coding RNA of Pyrus x bretschneideri (Chinese white pear), 886 nucleotides long. RefSeq lists it as uncharacterized. The record is from RefSeq and is a predicted model, not a curated record. Lineage: Eukaryota; Viridiplantae; Streptophyta; Magnoliopsida; Rosales; Rosaceae. The transcript has 2 exons.
UUAGGACGAGCCAAUUUGUGGUGCAAUAAUGUCUUGAUUCGGCGGACAUAUUCAAGUGAUCACUUAAUUGAAUGGUGGGACGAUCGUCAUCAGUGAUGGAAAAUUUUCACCGCGCCGGGCGAAAAACUGUUUGGUGCCGUUUCCAUACAUGUGUCCACGGUAUUAGGUGGUAUCGUAGCAGCAGCAGCUCGCAGUUUUGAGUGGUGAUAUUCAUCACUAAAAGUUUGACACGUGUACAACUAAAACAAAUUAGCUUCUGCUGUUAACGUCCAGUUACAUACUAAGGACGAUGUCAAAUUAUUCUGACAUGGUCACCGCCGCAAUUGAUUUCAAUUUUGUGAGCUACAGCUUGAAGAUGGGAGAAAAUCUAUCUAAUUGAAAAUGGUGGUGGCGGAGGGAGUUAUUGGAAGCCAACCCACCGCUUGUAAAUCUGGGUACUGCGUGUUUGUUGUAUUAAAAGGUGCUGCCUGUGUAAUUAUCCACUGAUAAAAUUCAGGAAAUUCUAAUCUUUUUGUUCUUUUGUCUUGGUUUGGUAUCAGAACCUUUGGGGCUCCACAACUUUUAUUGAUCUAGUUUCCUACUUAAACAAACAGCCUUCGUUGAGAAACUACUUCAUCGUUCUUGAUCCUUUUCAAUACCAAGCAGUACUAUAGCGCAACCAAUUCAACCCUAAACCCUAAUUCACUCUCUCGUCCUUAUUUGUAUUCGCAUGGAGUUGCUUGAACCCGGUAGGGUGGUUUGUAAUUGUAAUUGGGCGUUAACGACAGAGUUGACGCAUUUUAGUUGUACAUGUGUCAAAUUUUUAGUGGAUCAGUAGCAGCACUCGGCACUGCUAGCUAGCUAGCAGGUGGUGCCAGUGCCAUUGCUAGCUAGCAGAGUUGACAUA